GACGAACGCUGGCGGCGUGCCUAAUACAUGCAAGUAGAACGCACAGUUUAUACCGUAGCUUGCUACACCAUAAACUGUGAGUUGCGAACGGGUGAGUAACGCGUAGGUAACCUGCCUGGUAGCGGGGGAUAACUAUUGGAAACGAUAGCUAAUACCGCAUAAUAUUGAUUAUUGCAUGAUAAUUGAUUGAAAGUUGCUAUUGCAUCACUACCAGAUGGACCUGCGUUGUAUUAGCUAGUAGGUGAGGUAACGGCUCACCUAGGCGACGAUACAUAGCCGACCUGAGAGGGUGAUCGGCCACACUGGGACUGAGACACGGCCCAGACUCCUACGGGAGGCAGCAGUAGGGAAUCUUCGGCAAUGGACGAAAGUCUGACCGAGCAACGCCGCGUGAGUGAAGAAGGUUUUCGGAUCGUAAAGCUCUGUUGUAGGAGAAGAACGGGUGUGAGAGUGGAAAGUUCACACUGUGACGGUAUCUUACCAGAAAGGGACGGCUAACUACGUG
RNAcentral lists this ribosomal RNA (505 nucleotides) under uncultured bacterium. RNAcentral's name for it is "partial 16S ribosomal RNA". It matches the Rfam family "Bacterial small subunit ribosomal RNA", at positions 28 to 507 of the family's 1533-position model. The record is from RNAcentral.